Molecule: ribosomal RNA, 483 nt
Filed under: uncultured bacterium
Lineage: Bacteria
Description: bacterial SSU rRNA
Rfam family: Bacterial small subunit ribosomal RNA
Source: RNAcentral
AUGAAACACUCCUACGGGAGGCAGCAGUGGGGAAUAUUGGACAAUGGGCGAAAGCCUGAUCCAGCCAUGCCGCGUGUGUGAAGAAGGCCCUCGGGUCGUAAAGCACUUUAAGCUGGGAGGAAGGGUUGUAACCUAAUACGUUGCAAUUUUGACGUUACCAGCAGAAUAAGCACCGGCUAACUCUGUGCCAGCAGCCGCGGUAAUACAGAGGGUGCAAGCGUUAAUCGGAAUUACUGGGCGUAAAGCGCGCGUAGGUGGCUUGGUAAGUUGAAUGUGAAAUCCCCGGGCUCAACCUGGGAACUGCAUCCAAAACUGCCUGGCUAGAGUACGGUAGAGGGUGGUGGAAUUUCCUGUGUAGCGGUGAAAUGCGUAGAUAUGGGAAGGAACACCAGUGGCGAAGGCGACCACCUGGACUGAUACUGACACUGAGGUGCGAAAGCGUGGGGAGCAAACAGGAUUAGAAACCCGGGUAGUCCGAAGUUC